CCUGCCCUCCACAGGGGGAUAACGCACCGAAAGGUGCACUAAUACCGCAUAAGCUGACAUGGUCAAAGGAGCAAUCCGGUGGAAGAUGGGCUCGCGUCUGAUUAGCUAGUUGGUGAGGUAACGGCCCACCAAGGCGACGAUCAGUAGCCGACCUGAGAGGGUGAUCGGCCACAUUGGAACUGAGAGACGGUCCAAACUCCUACGGGAGGCAGCAGUGGGGAAUAUUGGGCAAUGGGCGAAAGCCUGACCCAGCAACGCCGCGUGAAGGAAGAAGGUUUUCGGAUCGUAAACUUCUAUCCUUGGUGAAGAUAUGACGGUAGCCAAGAAGGAAGCCCCGGCUAACUACGUGCCAGCAGCCGCGGUAAUACGUAGGGGGCAAGCGUUGUCCGGAAUGAUUGGGCGUAAAGGGCGCGUAGGCGGCCAACUAAGUCUGGAGUGAAAGUCCUGCUUUUAAGGUGGGAAUUGCUUUGGAAACUGGAUGGCUUGAGUGCAGGAGAGGUAAGCGGGAUUCCCGGUGUAGCGGUGAAAUGCG
Molecule: ribosomal RNA, 532 nt
Filed under: uncultured bacterium
Lineage: Bacteria
Description: bacterial SSU rRNA
Rfam family: Bacterial small subunit ribosomal RNA
Source: RNAcentral